UGGGGAAUUUUGGACAAUGGGGGAAACCCUGAUCCAGCCAUCCCGCGUGUGCGAUGAAGGCCUUCGGGUUGUAAAGCACUUUUGGCAGGAAAGAAACGUCAUGGGUUAAUACCCCGUGAAACUGACGGUACCUGCAGAAUAAGCACCGGCUAACUACGUGCCAGCAGCCGCGGUAAUACGUAGGGUGCAAGCGUUAAUCGGAAUUACUGGGCGUAAAGCGUGCGCAGGCGGUUCGGAAAGAAAGAUGUGAAAUCCCAGAGCUCAACUUUGGAACUGCAUUUUUAACUACCGGGCUAGAGUGUGUCAGAGGGAGGUGGAAUUCUGCGUGUAGCAGUGAAAUGCGUAGAUAUGCGGGGGAACACCGAUGGCGAAGGCAGCCUCCUGGGAUAACACUGACGCUCAUGCACGAAAGCGUGGGGAGCAAACAGG
RNAcentral lists this ribosomal RNA (429 nucleotides) under Acidobacteriota bacterium. RNAcentral describes it as "Acidobacteria bacterium partial 16S ribosomal RNA". It matches the Rfam family "Bacterial small subunit ribosomal RNA", at positions 355 to 776 of the family's 1533-position model. Lineage: Bacteria; Pseudomonadati; Acidobacteriota. The record is from RNAcentral.